This 356-nucleotide ribosomal RNA is filed under the name Bacillus subtilis. RNAcentral's name for it is "bacterial SSU rRNA". It matches the Rfam family "Bacterial small subunit ribosomal RNA", at positions 1123 to 1481 of the family's 1533-position model. The record is from RNAcentral. Lineage: Bacteria; Bacillati; Bacillota; Bacilli; Caryophanales; Bacillaceae.
AGCAUUCAUUGGGCAUUUAAGGGAUGCCGGUGACAAACCGGAGGAAGGUGGGGAUGACGUCAAAUCAUCAUGCCCCUUAUGACCUGGGCUACACACGUGCUACAAUGGACAGAACAAAGGGCAGCGAAACCCGAGGUUAAGCCAAUCCCACAAAUCUGUUCUCAGUUCGGAUCGCAGUCUGCAACUCGACUGCGUGAAGCUGGAAUCGCUAGUAAUCGCGGAUCAGCAUGCCGCGGUGAAUACGUUCCCGGGCCUUGUACACACCGCCCGUCACACCACGAGAGUUUGUAACACCCGAAGUCGGUGAGGUAACCUUUAUGGAGCCAGCCGCCGAAGGUGGGACAGAUGAUGGGUGU